UAGUAGGUAAUGUGGUUGUAGUCAUUGGAGGCGUGGUUGUAGUAGGUAAAGUGGUUGUAGCCGUUGUAGACCGGACUGUAGUAGUAGGUAAUGUGGUUGUAGUCAUUGGAGGCGUGGUUGUAGUAGGUAAAGUGGUUGUAGCCGUUGUAGACCGGACUGUAGUAGUAGGUAAUGUGGUUGUAGUCAUUGGAGGCGUGGUUGUAGUAGGUAAAGUGGUUGUAGCCGUUGUAGACCGGACUGUAGUAGUAGGUAAUGUGGUUGUAGUCAUUGGAGGCGUGGUUGUAGUAGGUAAAGUGGUUGUAGCCGUUGUAGACCGGACUGUAGUAGUAGGUAAUGUGGUUGUAGUCAUUGGAGGCG
Molecule: long non-coding RNA, 357 nt
Organism: Xyrauchen texanus (razorback sucker)
Lineage: Eukaryota; Metazoa; Chordata; Actinopteri; Cypriniformes; Catostomidae
Exons: 3
Source: RefSeq, a predicted model, not a curated record